Molecule: ribosomal RNA, 253 nt
Filed under: uncultured bacterium
Lineage: Bacteria
Description: partial 16S ribosomal RNA
Rfam family: Bacterial small subunit ribosomal RNA
Source: RNAcentral
UACGUAGGGCGCAAGCGUUAUCCGGAAUUAUUGGGCGUAAAGAGCUCGUAGGCGGACUGUCACGUCUGCUGUGAAAAGCUGGGGCUUAACCCUGGCCUUGCAGUGGAUACGGGCAGACUAGAGGUAGGUAGGGGAGAAUGGAAUUCCCGGUGUAGCGGUGAAAUGCGCAGAUAUCGGGAGGAACACCGGUGGCGAAGGCGGUUCUCUGGGCCUUACCUGACGCUGAGGAGCGAAAGCGUGGGGAGCGAACAGG